Molecule: ribosomal RNA, 392 nt
Filed under: uncultured Gammaproteobacteria bacterium
Lineage: Bacteria; Pseudomonadati; Pseudomonadota; Gammaproteobacteria
Description: bacterial SSU rRNA
Rfam family: Bacterial small subunit ribosomal RNA
Source: RNAcentral
AAUGGGGGCAACCCUGAUCCAGCCAUGCCGCGUGGGUGAAGAAGGCCUUAGGGUUGUAAAACCCUUUCAGCGGGGAAGAUGAUGACGGUACCCGCAGAAGAAGCCCCGGCUAACUCCGUGCCAGCAGCCGCGGUAAUACGGAGGGGGCUAGCGUUGUUCGGAAUUACUGGGCGUAAAGGGCGUGUAGGCGGCUUGUCUAGUCAGGCGUGAAAGCCCCGGGCUUAACCUGGGAACUGCGUUUGAUACUGGCAGGCUAGAGGUUGGAAGAGGAGAGUGGAAUUCCCAGUGUAGAGGUGAAAUUCGUAGAUAUUGGGAAGAACACCAGUGGCGAAGGCGGCUCUCUGGUCCAUACCUGACGCUGAGGCGCGAAAGCGUGGGGAGCAAACAGGAUU